This is an unclassified non-coding RNA of Papio anubis (olive baboon), 148 nucleotides long. It matches the Rfam family "Metazoan signal recognition particle RNA". From Rfam's summary of the family: The signal recognition particle (SRP) is a universally conserved ribonucleoprotein. Lineage: Eukaryota; Metazoa; Chordata; Mammalia; Primates; Cercopithecidae. The record is from Ensembl.
GCUGGGUGUGGUGGUGGGUGCCUGUAAUCCCGGCUACUUGGGAAGCUGAGGCAGGAGAAUCACUUGAACCCAGGAGGUGGAGGUUGCAGUGAGCCAAGGUCACACCACUGCACUCCAGCCUGGGUGACAGAGUGAGACUCUGUCUCAA